GAAAUGCGAUAAGUAAUGUGAAUUGCAGAAUUCAGUGAAUCAUCGAAUCUUUGAACGCACAUUGCGCCCGCCAGUAUUCUGGCGGGCAUGCCUGUUCGAGCGUCAUUACAACCCUCAGGCCCCCGGGCCUGGUGUUGGGGAUCGGCGGAAGCCCCCUGCGGGCACAACGCCGUCCCCCAAAUACAGUGGCGGUCCCGCCGCAGCUUCCAUUGCGUAGUAGCUAACACCUCGCAACUGGAGAGCGGCGCGGCCACGCCGUAAAACACCCAACUUCUGAAUGUUGACCUCGAAUCAGGUAGGAAUACCCGCUGAACUUAAGC
This 320-nucleotide unclassified non-coding RNA is filed under the name plant metagenome. Its description in RNAcentral is "partial contains 5.8S ribosomal RNA, internal transcribed spacer 2, and large subunit ribosomal RNA". The stretch from base 1 to 105 matches the Rfam family "5.8S ribosomal RNA", at positions 50 to 154 of the family's 154-position model. The record is from RNAcentral.